Tympanuchus pallidicinctus (lesser prairie-chicken) is the source of this 1490-nucleotide long non-coding RNA. RefSeq lists it as uncharacterized. The record is from RefSeq and is a predicted model, not a curated record. NCBI's taxonomy places the organism in Eukaryota, Metazoa, Chordata, Aves, Galliformes, Phasianidae. The transcript has 2 exons.
AGGGUGCUGGGGGGGGGGUUAGACUGGAGCCACUGCUGCGGGCGGAGGGAGGAGGGAUCGUCCCACCGAGCAGCAACAAUGAACCUCGGGCAGCAAACGGCAGCUGCUCGGCAGCUGAAGUGCGCAGUCAUUGCAGAGCGGCCCCGCUGGGGUUUGGGGCCAUUGUUGCUUUUCCCACAUUGGCCCCACGCUGCUUGUUCCCAGCGGGAUGCAGCCAGGUGGGGAUGUCUGCCUCUGCUACAGCCCAUGAGCAGAGAGGUGCGGGCACAGCAGUGGGUCUGAGGGCACUGCAGGGCUCUCACUGCAUGGCAGUGCCACGCUCCGCUGAGGCAGUGCUGCAAUGGGGACCUCGGUGCUGAUCCGACAGCAUGGUGCUGCUCCUUGCUCUCUUGCUGCGUUGCUUGCUUUCUUUUGCAGCUGCUAAUGACUGACCUGAGGUCUGUUCACACACAGUCCCCUGCGCAGCUCUCGCAGAGGAACAUCCGGACGGGAUGGGGGACGCUGCACUGUGCCCACGUAGCCAGAUUGCACAGAACCACCAGCCCCAUGGCUCUGCCACAGCUCUCACCCGAGGGCACCGGGGCACAGGGACGUGACAGCCACCUGCACAUGGACACUGGAGCUGCUGGCCCCAGCGAAGCCACCUGAUGCCAGCCCAGCUGCUGUGGGAACAAGGCUGAAGAGAUGGUGGUGGCAGUGCCUGAGGACAUGGGACUGCCUUCACAUGGUUCUUCCAGGUGCUGGGGUCCUCUUCUUCCUGCAAACACUCUGGCACUGAUGAGGCUGUCCCCUCCUUGGAGUCCAUUUCUCAUCCUCAUGGUGCCAGGGCUGCACAUUGCAGGGCGUACUCAGGCUCUGUGUGCCUUACCAGCACGGUGACAGCAGCAGAUCCCCACCAAGCGUUUCAUCUGGAAGGCUGCAUUGCGCUGACCCAUCCCCUGACACCUUCCCAUAUCCCAUAACCCAGUGGCAAAGCCCAAAAACGUCUCCUGCUCUCCAAAGCCAUGCUGCCUUGCGCGGGGACUAACCGUGCCCAGCUGUGCAUGCGUGUGCUCUGCUCCUCUCCAGCACUAACCAGGCCCCCCAGGCACCGUGUGCCCCUUGUGAUCACUAACCCACUAACACACCUGCGCAUGCCCUACUAACAGCCCCGCUCUCACUAACAGCCCACAGGCCUUAAAGGGGAACAGAAAAGCUGGGUAAGUAUGGGGCUGUGCGGGGCAGCAUGGGGCUGGGGAUGCCAGGCAGCAUGUGGGGCAGGCAGGACAGGAUGGGCAGCUCCUCUGUAUGUCCCCUGCAUGGGGCUGGUCUCUGCAGCAGUGGGGCUGCGAUGCCCAAAGUGCUGCAUAUGGUUCUGCUGCUGACUGGGAGCCCAAAAUGGUUUUAUCAGCAGAAGCUUUUCAGUUCCUUUUUAAGCCAGUGGAUCUCUCUGUUACUAACACAUUCCUGAACUGAAUUAAACAAACUAAUCGUUGCUACUUUUCUCUUCA